RNAcentral lists this ribosomal RNA (253 nucleotides) under uncultured bacterium. RNAcentral's name for it is "partial 16S ribosomal RNA". It matches the Rfam family "Bacterial small subunit ribosomal RNA", at positions 524 to 776 of the family's 1533-position model. The record is from RNAcentral.
UACGUAGGGUGCGAGCGUUGUCCGGAAUUAUUGGGCGUAAAGGGCUCGUAGGCGGUUUGUCGCGUCGGGAGUGAAAACCCAGGGCUUAACCCUGGGCUGGCUUCCGAUACGGGCAGACUAGAGGUAUGCAGGGGAGAACGGAAUUCCUGGUGUAGCGGUGAAAUGUGUAGAGAUCGGGAGGAACACCGGUGGCGAAGGCGGGUCUCUGGGCAAUACCUGACGCUGAGGCGCGAAAGCGUGGGGAGCAAACGGG